Molecule: transfer RNA, 85 nt
Filed under: Acholeplasma sp. OttesenSCG-928-E16
Lineage: Bacteria; Bacillati; Mycoplasmatota; Mollicutes; Acholeplasmatales; Acholeplasmataceae
Description: tRNA-Leu
Rfam family: tRNA
About the family: Transfer RNA (tRNA) molecules are approximately 80 nucleotides in length. Their secondary structure includes four short double-helical elements and three loops (D, anti-codon, and T loops).
Source: RNAcentral
GCGGGUGUGGCGAAAUUGGCAUACGCACUAGACUUAGGAUCUAGCGCCUUCGGGCGUGCAGGUUCAACUCCUGUCACCCGCACCA